AACGAACGCUGGCGGCAUGCCUAACACAUGCAAGUCGAACGAGACCUUCGGGUCUAGUGGCGCACGGGUGCGUAACGCGUGGGAACCUGCCCUUAGGUUCGGAAUAACUCCCCGAAAGGGGUGCUAAGACCGGAUAAUGUCUUCGGACCAAAGAUUUAUCGCCUUUGGAUGGGCCCGCGUUGGAUUAGCUAGUUGGUAGGGUAAAAGCCUACCAAGGCGACGAUCCAUAGCUGGUCUGAGAGGAUGAUCAGCCACACUGGGACUGAGACACGGCCCAGACUCCUACGGGAGGCAGCAGUGGGGAAUAUUGGACAAUGGGCGAAAGCCUGAUCCAGCAAUGCCGCGUGAGUGAUGAAGGCCUUAGGGUUGUAAAGCUCUUUUACCCGGGAUGAUAAUGACAGUACCGGGAGAAUAAGCUCCGGCUAACUCCGUA
Molecule: ribosomal RNA, 433 nt
Filed under: uncultured bacterium
Lineage: Bacteria
Description: partial 16S ribosomal RNA
Rfam family: Bacterial small subunit ribosomal RNA
Source: RNAcentral